Molecule: ribosomal RNA, 300 nt
Filed under: uncultured Glaciecola sp.
Lineage: Bacteria; Pseudomonadati; Pseudomonadota; Gammaproteobacteria; Alteromonadales; Alteromonadaceae
Description: bacterial SSU rRNA
Rfam family: Bacterial small subunit ribosomal RNA
Source: RNAcentral
UGCUUGGGAACUUGCCUUUGCGAGGGGAGUAACCACUGGAACGGUAGGCUAAUACGCAUAAUGUCUACGGACCAAACGAGGGCGUUAGGCUCUUGCGCAAAGAGAGGCCCAAGUGAGAUUAGCUAGUUGGUGGGGUAAAGGCUCACCAAGGCAACGAUCUCUAGCUGUUCUGAGAGGAAGAUCAGCCACACUGGGACUGAGACACGGCCCAGACUCCUACGGGAGGCAGCAGUGGGGAAUAUUGGACAAUGGGGGCAACCCUGAUCCAGCCAUGCCGCGUGUGUGAAGAAGGCCUCGGUU